This 1751-nucleotide long non-coding RNA is filed under the name Bemisia tabaci. Its description in RNAcentral is "lncRNA ENSASIAIIG012374". The record is from RNAcentral. Lineage: Eukaryota; Metazoa; Arthropoda; Insecta; Hemiptera; Aleyrodidae.
AUGCCGAGGGCGAAGAAGAAAAAAGAUAGUGAUGAUCACUUCUGUCUAUUUAAGUUUGAAGAUGGGAUUUACCAAAUAUGUCGUUUCCCCAGUGAGGUGAGGGGUAUAACCUCACAACCCAAAGCAAGGUGGAGAGACAGGAAGUGGUAUCCUGGGAGGGUGAUAGUGGCUGGAAGUAAGUUGUUUAAUGAUAUCUUAUUUCUCUAUGUGUUUAUAGCUAGUAUUGUUGAAUAGGGUACGUCACAAAAAUUUUAAUAUAUCUCGCAAUAUCUUUUGAAGUGUUGCAGGCAUAAAAAUGAGCUGUGGAUUUUACUGCUUACUUAAUCCCAUUUUCUACCUGUGAAGGUUCAUCUAGAGGAGUCUUUUUAUAUGAGAAGUGUAAUCCACUGCUCUUUCUACAGUAGUUCAAAAGAUAUAGAGCUGUUAUGAUAUUUUUGGCGCACCUCGAAAUAACAGGCUUGAGUAUUGGUCAUUAAAAUUGGAGCAGAAAAUUUGACGGAAUGAUCUUGUGUCCGGUUAUUGUAUAACAACAGUGUACAAAUAAAGUCACAGCAUUUUUCGAUCUGAGCAUCAUUGACUUAAACGUACUAUUGGUAAAAAAGUUGGUAAAAAGAGUAUUAGGCUCUUCGAAUUAUACAAAUACUUACUGCCAGAUAAUGAUAAUUUUCACACUCCUCGCUAAAAACACACUCCUCAGAGUGGGCACACUCCUCCCAAAGAGUGGUAUGCUCUUCGAAUUAUAAAAAUACUUAAUGCCAGAUAUUGACAAAUUUCACACUCCUCGCUAACAACACACUCCUCAGAAGGGGCACACUCCUCCCAAAGAGUAGUAGGGUCUUCAAUGGUUAAAAUAUUUAAUACCAGAUAUUGACAAUUUUCACACUCCUCACAAACAACGCACUCCUCAGAGUGGGCACACCCCUCGCAAAGAGUGGUAUGCUACGAAUUAUAAAAAUACUUAAUGCCAGAUAUUGACAAAUUUCACACUCCUCGCAAACAACACACUCCUCAGAGGGGGCACACUCCUCCCAAAGAGUAGUAGGGUCUUCAAUGGUUAAAAUAUUUAAUACCAGAUAUUGACAAUUUUCACACUCCUCUCUAACAACACACUCCUUAGAACGGGCACACUCCUCCCAAAUGGACUGAGUUAAGCAGAAAGGAACCAACCCACAUUUUGGAAAAAAUUGAGUUAUGAGUGGUUUUGAACUCAACCACUGCGCUACUAUCUAUCGCCAAAAAUUCAAAGUUUUCGUUGGAGCAAAUUUUGCAGAAAUUGAACUUGAAGUUUAUCUUUUACAUUGAGUCUUAUGCAGGAGCCAAACUUUAAACCUCUUUUUCUCGGUUCGAUCCCGAUGUGGCUUGGUUCCUUUCUGUUUAACUCCGUCCAAAUAGUAUUAGGCUCUUCGAAUUAUAAAAAUAUUUAAUGCCCGAUAUUGACAAUUUACCACACUCCUCGCAAACAACACACUCCUCAGAGGGGGCACACUCCUCCCAAAGAGUAUUAGGCUCUUCGAAUUAUAAAAAUAUUUAAUGCCCGAUAUUGACAAUUUUCACACUCCUCGCAAACAACACACUCCUCAGAGGGGGCACACCCUCCCAAAGAGUAGUAGGGUCUUCGAAUUAUAAAAAUACUUACUGCCAGAUAAUGAUAAUUUUCACACUCCUCGCUAAAAACACACUCCUCAGAGUGGGCACACCCCUCGCAAAGAGUGGUAUGCUCUUCGAAUUAUAAAAAUACUUAAUGCCCGAUA